UGAAUACGAGACGCUAAGGCGUCGAAGUAGUGUAUGUCAUACUUCCAAGAAAAGCUUGCACUGUCAUAGAUAAAAAACGCCUGUACCAUAACCGACACAGGUGGGUAGGUAGAGUAUACUAAGGGGCGCGAGAUAACUCUCUCUAAGGAACUCGGCAAAAUAACUCCGUAACUUCGGGAGAAGGAGUGCCUUAUUCGUAAGGUUGCAAUAACAAGAUCCAAGCAACUGUUUAUCAAAAACACAGGUCUCCGCUAAGUCGUAAGACGAUGUAUGGGGGCUGACGCCUGCCCAGUGCCAGAAGGUUAAAGAAGUUGGUUAGCAAUUGCGAAGCUGAUAACUGAAGCCCUGGUGAACGGCGGCCGUAACUAUAACGGUCCUAAGGUAGCGAAAUUCCUUGUCGGGUAAGUUCCGACCCGCACGAAAGGCGUAAUGAUUUGGAUACUGUCUCGGAGAGGGGCUCGGUGAAAUAGACUUGUCUGUGAAGAUGCGGACUACCUGCACCAGGACAGAAAGACCCUAUGAAGCUUCACUGUAACUUGAAAUUGAAAUUGGACUUUAUUCGCGCAGUAUAGGUGGGAGGCGCAUUAUAAUCUUGUGGGAUUAUUGGAGCCAUCAGUGAGAUACCACUCUUGUAAUGUUAGAUUUCUAACUUUGAAUCAUUAUCUGGUCAAAGAACAGUUUCAGGCGGGCAGUUUGACUGGGGCGGUCGCCUCCUAAACGGUAACGGAGGCGUACAAAGGUUUCCUCUGAACGGUUAGAAAUCGUAUCUAGAGUGUAAAGGCAUAAGGAAGCUUGACUGUGAGACCUACAAGUCGAGCAGGGACGAAAGUCGGUCUUAGUGAUCUGACGGUACUGAGUGGAAAGGCCGUCACUCAACGGAUAAAAGUUACUCUAGGAUAACAGGCUGAUCUCCCCCAAGAGUUCACAUCGACGGGGAGGUUUGGCACCUCGAUGUCGGCUCAUCGCAUCCUGGGGCGGUAGUACGUCCCAAGGGUUGGGCUGUUCGCCCAUGAAAGCGGUACGCGAGCUGGGUUCAGAACGUCGUGAGACAGUUCGGUCCAUAUCCGGUGUAGGCGUUAGAAUAUUGAGAGGAGCCUUCUUUAGUACGAGAGGACCGAGAAGGACAUACCUCUGGUGUACCAGUUAUCGUGCCAACGGUAAACGCUGGGUAGCUAUGUAUGGAGUGGAUAACCGCUGAAAGCAUCUAAGUGGGAAGCCCACCUCAAGAUAAGUAUUCUCAUC
This 1242-nucleotide ribosomal RNA is filed under the name metagenome. Its description in RNAcentral is "bacterial LSU rRNA". It matches the Rfam family "Bacterial large subunit ribosomal RNA", at positions 1564 to 2818 of the family's 2925-position model. The record is from RNAcentral.